This 253-nucleotide ribosomal RNA is filed under the name uncultured bacterium. Its description in RNAcentral is "partial 16S ribosomal RNA". It matches the Rfam family "Bacterial small subunit ribosomal RNA", at positions 524 to 776 of the family's 1533-position model. The record is from RNAcentral.
UACCGAGGUGGCAAGCGUUGUUCGGAAUUACUGGGCGUAAAGGGCGCGUAGGCGGUCUUGCAAGUCCUGUGUGAAAUCCCUCGGCUCAACUGAGGAACUGCACAGGAAACUGCUUGGCUUGAGUUCGGGAGAGGGAAGCGGAAUUCCGGGUGUAGCGGUGAAAUGCGCAGAUAUCGGGAAGAACACCGAUGGCGAAGGCAGGUCUCUGGGCCACUACUGACGCUGAGAAGCGAAAGCAUGGGGAGCGAACAGG